CCUACGGGCGGCAGCAGUGAGGAAUUUUGGACAAUGGGGGAAACCCUGAUCCAGCAACGCCGCGUGGAGGACGAAGGUCUUCGGAUUGUAAACUCCUUUUAUUGGGGACUAAGAAAUCCGCCGAAAGGUGGGGAGUGAAGGUACCCGAUGAAUAAGCCACGGCUAACUUCGUGCCAGCAGCCGCGGUAAUACGAAGGUGGCAAGCGUUACUCGGAAUUACUAGGCGUAAAGGGCAGGUAGGUGGUCUGGUCAGUCUGUCGUUAAAACGUUCGGCUUAACCGGGCGAGGUCGACGGAUACUGCCGGGCUUGAGCGUAGGAGAGGGUACUGGAAUUCCCGGUGUAGCGGUGAAAUGCGCAGAGAUCGGGAGGAACACCGAUGGCGAAAGCAGGUACCUGGACUAUUGCUGACACUCAGCUGCGAAAGCUAGGGGAGCAAACAGGAUUAGAUACCCUUGUAGUC
RNAcentral lists this ribosomal RNA (461 nucleotides) under Salmonella enterica subsp. enterica serovar Anatum. RNAcentral describes it as "bacterial SSU rRNA". It matches the Rfam family "Bacterial small subunit ribosomal RNA", at positions 338 to 795 of the family's 1533-position model. The record is from RNAcentral. Lineage: Bacteria; Pseudomonadati; Pseudomonadota; Gammaproteobacteria; Enterobacterales; Enterobacteriaceae.